ACAGCAGCUCCAACGACCACAACAGCUUCCUCUACAACCACGAUAGCCAGCCCCACAUCAACCACAGCUGUUUCCACAACAACCACAGCUGCACCCACAACAACCACAUCUGCACACACAUCAACAGCAGAAGCAGCCCCAACAACCACAUCUUCUCCGACAACACCUACAGCAUCUCCGACAACCACAGCCAUCCCCACAACCACAGACGGACACACAACAACCACAGAUGCACCAACAACAACCACAGAUGCACCCACAACAACCACAGAUGCAACCACAACAACCACAUCUUCUCCGACAACAACUACAGCAUCUACAACAUCUACAACAGCUUCCUCUUCAACCACCACAGCCAGCCCCACAUCAACCAGAGCUGCACCCACAUCAACCACAGCCAUCCCCACAACAACCACAGAUGCACACACAACAACCACAGCCAUCCCCACAACCACUGAAGCAGACACAACAACCACAGAUGCACACACAACAACUAAAGCAGCUUCGACAUCCACCGCCAUCCCCACAACAACUACAGCAUCUCACACAUCAACCACAUCUUCUCCGAAAAUCACUACAGCAGCUCCAACGACCACAACAGCUUCCUCUUCAACCACCACCACCAGCCCCACAUCAACCACAGCUGUUCACACAACAACCACAGAUGCACACACAACAACCACAGAUGCACCCACAACAACCACAUCUUCUCCGACAACACCUUCAGCAGCUCCGACAACCACAGCCAUCUCGAAAAGAACCACAGAUGCACACACAACAACCACAGAUGCACAACCCCCAUCCACAUUUUCUCUGACACCUACUACAGCAGCUCCCACAACAACUACUGCAAACCCCACAACAACCACUGCUGCUCCCACAACAACCACAGCUGCUACAACAACAAUCACAGCUGCACCCACAACAACCACAGCUGCACCCACAACAAACAGAGAUGAACCCACAACAACCACAUCUUCUCCAACAGCAACUACAGCAGCUCCAAUGACCACAGCAGCUUCCUCUACAACAACAACCACAGCUUCUAAAACAACAAUCAAAGCUGAUCCCACAAUAACCACAGAUGCACCCACAACAACCACAUCUUCUCCGACAACACCUACAGCAGCUCCAACAACCACAGUCAUCCCCACAACAACCACAGAUGCACAGACAUCAACCACCUCUUUUCCGACAACACCUACAGCAGUUCCGACAACAACAACCGUCCCUACAACAACCACAGAUGCACACACAACAACCACAUCUUCUCCGACAACAACUACAGCAGCUCCAAAGACCACAACAGCCAUCUCUACAACCACCACAGCUUCUACAACAACAACCAAAGCUGAUCCCUCAACAACCACAGAUGCACCCACAACAACCACAGAUGCACCCACAACAACCACAUCUUCUCUGACAACAACUACAGCAACUACAACAUCCACAACAGCUUCCUCUUUAACCACCACAGCCAGCCCCACAUCAACCACAGCUUCUUCCACAAUAACCACAGAAGCACCCACAACAACCACAGAAGCACCCACAACAUCCACAUCUCCGACAACACCUACAGCGGCUCCGACAACCACAGCCAUCUCCACAACAACCACAGACGCACACACAACAACAACGGAUGCACCCACAACAACCACAUUUUCUCCAACAACAGUUAUAGCAAAUCCAAUGACCACAACAGCUUCCUCUACAACCACCACAGCUUCUACAACAACCACAGCUUCUUCUACAACAACCACAGCUGCACCCACAACAACCACAUUUUCUCAGACAACAACCACAGCUAUCCCCACCAGAACCACAGCUUCAGCCAUACCAAACACAGCUGCACCCACAACAACCACAGAUGCACCCACAACAACCACAUCUUCUCCGACAACAACUAUAGAAUCUACAACAUCCAGAAAAGCUUCCACGACAACCACCACAGCCAGCCCCACAUCAACAACAGAUGCACCCACAACAACCACAGCUUCACCCACAACAACCACAGAAGCACCCACAACAACCACAUCUUCUCCGACAACACCUAUAGCAGCUCCGACAGCAACAACCGUCCCCACAACAACCACAGAUGCACCCACAACAACCACAUCUUCUCCGGCAACAACUACAGCAUCUGCGACAACCACAGCCAUCCCCACAAAAACCACAGCCAGCCCCACAACAACCACAGCUUCAGCCAUAACAACCACAUCUUCUACAACAACAACCAAAGCUAAUCCCACAAUAACCACAGCUGCUCCCACAACAACAACAACUGUACCACUAUCAACAAUAGCUGCAGCUACUACAAACACAGCCUUCCCGACAACAACCACAGCUGCUCCCACAACAACCACACAUGCACACACACCAACCACAUCUUCUCUGACAACAACUACAACAUCCACAACAGCUUCCUCUACCACCACCACUGCCAGCCCCACAUCAACCACAGCUGCACCCACAACAACCACAGCUGCACCCACAACAACCACAGAAGCACACACAACAACCACAAAUGCACCCACAACAGCCACAUCUUCUCCGGCAACAACUACAGCAGCUCAGAAAACCACCGCCAUCCCCACAACAACAACAGCUAUCCCCACAACAACCACAGCUUCAGCCAUAACAACCACAGCUGCACCCACAACAACCACAGAAGCACCCACAACAACCACAUCUAUUCCUACAACACCUACAGCAGCUCUGACAACCACAGCCAUCCCCACAACAACGACAGAUGCACACACAACAACCACAGAUGCACCCACAACAACCACAGCUGCUCCCACAACAACCACAUCUUACCCGACAACAUCCUCGGCGGCUCCCAAAACAACCACAACCUCUCCCACAACCACAACAGCUUCCCUUACAACAACCACAGCUUCCCCCAAUACAACCACAGCUGCAGCUACAACAAGUACAGCUGCACCCACAACAACCACACCUUCUCCAACCGCAAUAACAGAUGCUGCUACAACAACAGCUUCUAUCACAACAGCUUCGGCCACAAUAUCCACAGCUUCUCCCACCACAACAUCUACUCCAACAACGACCACAUCUUCUCCCACAACAACCACAGUUGCUGCUGCAACAAAAGCUGAGGCUACAACAUUCGAAGCCCUGUCCACAUCAACUACAGCAGCUCCCACAACAACCACAGCUGCACCCACAAAAACCACAGCGGCUCCCACAACUACAGCUGCUCCCACAACCACAACAGUUUCCCUUACUACAACCACAGCUUCCCCCAAUACAACCACAGCUGCACCCACAACAACCACACCUGUUCCAACCAUAAUCACAGCUGUUGCAACAACAACAGCUUCUAUCACAACAACAACAGCUUCGACGACAACAACCACAGCUUCUACCACAACAACUUCAGCGGGUCCCACUACAACCACAGUGGCUCCCACUACAACCACAGUCGCUCCCACUACAACCACAGUGGCUCCCACUACAACCACAGUGGCUCCCACUACAACCACAGCGGCUCCCACUACAACCACAGCGGCUCCCACUAAAUCCACAGCGGCUCCCACUACAACAGCUCCCUCAGCAACAUCAAAAGCUGAUGUAACAACCAGCACUGCUGGCCCUACCACAACCACAACUAAACCCAAAACCACCACAACUUCUCCCACAACCACAACAGAUUCACUUACAACAACCACAACUGAUCCCACAAUGUCAACAGCAACACCAAUACCAUCUACAGUUUCAACAAGCACAGCUGUGGCUACAAUAAUCACAGCUGCAUCAAUAAACACAGCUUCUCCCACCACAACAUCUACUCCCACAACAACCACAGCUUACCCCACAACUACCACAGCAGCUCCCACAACAUCCACAGCGACUCCCACAACAAUCACAGCGGCUCCCACAACAAACACAGCGUCUCCCACUACAACCACAGUGGCUCCCACUUCAACCACAACGUCUCCCACUACAACCACAGCGGCUCCCACUACAACCACAGCGGGUCCCACUACAACCACAGCGGCUCCCACUACAACAACAGCAGCUCCCACUACAACCACAGCUGCUCCCACUACAACAGAUCCCAUAGCAAUAACAACAGCUGAUGUAACAACCACCACUGCUGGCCCUACCACAACCACAGCUAACCCCAAAACAACCACAACUUUUCCCACAACCACAACAGCUUCCCUUACAACAACCACAAUUGCUGCUACAACAAAAGCUGAGGCUACAACAUUCGAAGCCCUGUCCACAUCAACCACAGCAGCUCCCACAACAACCACAGCGUCUCCCACAACAACCACAGCGGCUCCCACAACAACCACUGCUGAUGUUACAACAACCACAGCGUCUCCCAUAACAACCACAGCUGCUCCCACAACAACCACAGCUGAUGUUACAACAACCACAGCUGCUCCCACAACGACCACAGCUGCUCCAACAACAACCACAACAGCUUUCCUUACAUCAGCAGCUGGUCCGACAGCGAUCACAGCAGCACCAAUGAUGUCUACGGAUGCGGCUUCAAUGAGCACAACUGUGGCUACAGCAAUCACAGCUGCACCCACAACAACCACAACUUCUCCCACCACAACAUCUACUCCAACAGUGACCACAUCUGCUCCCACAACAACCACAGUUGCUGCUACAACAAAAUCUGACUCUACAACAUUCAAAGCCCUGUCUACAUCAACCACAGCAGCUCUCACAACAACCACAGCGGCUCCCACAACAACCACAGCUGAUGUUACAACAACCACAGCAACUCCCACAACAACCACAGCUGCUCCCACAACAACCACAGCUGAUGUUACAACAACCACAGCGUCUCCCACAACAACCACAGCUGCUCCAACAACAACCACAGCUGAUGUUACAACAACCACAGUGUCUCCCACAACGACCACAUCUGCUCCAACAACAACCACAACUUAUCCCAAAACUACAGCAUCUCCCACAACCACAACAGCUUCCCUUACAACAUCAACAGCUGGUCCGACAACUAUCACAGCAGCACCAAUGAUGUCUACGGAUGCGGCUUCAACGAGCACAGCUGUGGCUACAGCAGUCACAGCUGCACCCACAACAACCACAGCUUCUCCCACCACAACAUCUACUCCAACAGUGACCACAUCUGCUCCCACAACAACCACAGUUGCUGCUACAACAAAAUCUGAGGCUACAACAUUCAAAGCCCUGUCUACAUCAACCACAGCAGCUCUCACAACAACCACAGCGGCUCCCACAACAACCACAGCUGAUGUUACAACAACCACAGCAACUCCCACAACAACCACAGCUGCUCCCACAACAACCACAGCUGAUGUUACAACAACCACAGCGUCUCCCACAACAACCACAGCUGCUCCAAAAACAACCACUGCUGAUGUUACAACAACCAAUGCAGCUCCCACAACAACCACAGCUGAUGUUACAACAACCACAGUGUCUCCCACAAUAAUCACAGCUGCUCCCACUACAACCACAGUUGCAGCUACAACAAGUACAGCUGCACCCACAACAACCACACCUUCUCCAACCGCAAUUACAGAUGCUGCUACAACAACAGCUUCUAUCACAACAGCUUCUGCCACAAUAACCACAGCUUCUCCCACCACAACAUCUACUCCAACAACGACCACAUCUUCUCCCACAACAACCACAGUUGCUGCUGCAACAAAAGCUGAGGUUACAACAUUCGAAGCCAUGUCCACAUCAACCACAGCUUCCCCAAAUACAACCACAGCUGCACCCACAACAACCACACCUGCUCCAACCACAAUCACAGCUGCUGCUACAACAACAGCUUCUAUCACAACAACAACAGCUUCGACCACAACAACCACAGCUUUUAACACAACAACUUCAGCGGGUCCCACUACAACCACAGUGGCUCCCACUACAACCACAGCGGCUCCCACUACAACCACAGUGGCUCCCACUACAACCACAGCGGCUCCCACUACAACCACAGCGUCUCCCACUACAACCACAGCGGCUGCCACUAAAGCCACAGCGGCUCCCACAACAUCCACAGCGACUCCCACAGCAAUCACAGCGGCUCCCACAACAAACACAGCAUCUCCCACAAGAACCACAGCUGCUCCCACAACAACCACAGCGGAUCCCACAACAAUCACAGUGGCUCCCACAACAAACACAGCAUCUCCCACAAGAACCACAGCUGCUCCCACAACAACCACAGCGGAUCCCACUACGACCACAGCGGUUCCCACUACAACCACAGCGGCUCCCAAUACAACCACUGCGGCAUCCACUACAAUCACAGCGGCUCCCACUACAACAACAGUGGCUCCCACUUCAAUCACAACGUCUCCCACUACAACCACAGCGGCUCCCACUACAACCACAGCGGCUCCCACUACAACCACAGCGGCUCCCACUACAACCACAGUGGCUCUCACUACAACAACAGCAGCUCCCACUACAACCACAGCUGCUCCCACUACAACAGAUCCCAUAGCAAUAACAACAGCUGAUGUAACAACCACCACUGCUGGCCCUACCACAACCACAGCUAACCCCAAAACAACCACAACUUCUCCCACAACCACAACUGCUUCCCUUACAACAACCACAAUUGCUGCUACAACAAAAGCUGAGGCUACAACAUUCGAAGCCCUGUCCACAUCAACCACAGCAGCUCCCACAACAACCACAGCGUCUCCCACAACAACCACUGCUGAUGUUACAACAACCACAGCAUCUCCCAUAACAACCACAGCUGCUCCCACAACAACCACAGCUGAUGUUACAACAACCACAGUGUCUCCCACAACGACCACAGCUGCUCCAACAACAACCACAACUUAUCCCAAAACUACAGCAUCUCCCACAACCACAACAGCUGAUUUUACAACAACCACAGCGUCUCCCACAACAACCACAGCUGCUCCAACAACAACCACUGCUGAUGUUACAACAACCACAGCGUCUCCCACAACAACCACUGCUGAUGUUACAACAACCACAGCAUCUCCCAUAACAACCACAGCUGCUCCCACAACAACCACAGCUGAUGUUACAACAACCACAGUGUCUCCCACAACGACCACAGCUGCUCCAACAACAACCACAACUUAUCCCAAAACUACAGCAUCUCCCACAACCACAACAGCUGAUUUUACAACAACCACAGCGUCUCCCACAACAACCACAGCUGCUCCAACAACAACCACUGCUGAUGUUACAACAACCAAUGCAGCUCCCACAACAACCACAGCUGAUGUUACAACAACCACAGUGUCUCCCACAAUAAUCACAGCUGCACCCACAACAACCACAGCUUCUCCCACCACAACAUCUACUCCAACAGUGACCACAUCUGCUCCCACAACAACCACAGUUGCUGCUACAACAAAAUCUGAGGCUACAACAUUCGAAGCCCUCUCCACAUCAACCACAGCAGCUCCCACAACAACCACAGCGGCUCCCACAACAACCACAGCGGCUCCCACAACAACCACAGCUUAUGUUACAACAACCACAGCGUCUCCCACAACAACCACAGCUGCUCCAACAACAACCACAGCGUCUCCCACAACAACCACAGUGUCUCCCACAGCAACCACAGCUGCUCCCACAACAACCACAACUUAUCCCAAAACUACAGCAUCUCCCACAACCACAACAGCUUCCUUUACAACAUCAACAGCUGGUUGGACAACGAUCACAGCAGCACCAAUGAUGUCUACGGAUGCGGCUUCAACGAGCACAGCUGUGGCUACAGCAGUCACAGCUGCACCCACAACAACCACAGCUUCUCCCACCACAACAUCUACUCCAACAACUACCACAUCUGCACCUACAACAACCACAGUGGCUGCUACAACAAAAGCUGAGGCUACAACAUUCGAAAUCCUGUCCACAUCAACCACAGCAGCUCUCACAACAACCACAAUUGCACCCACAAAAACCACAAAUGCUCCCAUAACUAAAGAAGAUCUCACAACAGUUUCCCUUACUACAACCGCAGCUUCCCCCAAUUCAACCACAGCUGCAGCUACAACAAGUACAGCUGCACCCACAACAACCACACCUGCUCCAACCACAGUUACAGAUGCUGCUACAACAACAGCUUCUAUCACAACAAAUUCGGCCACAACAACCACAGCUUCUCCCACCACAACAUCUACUCCAACAACGACCACAUCUGCUCCCACAACAACCACAGUUGCUGCUACAACAAAAGCUGAGGCUACAACAUUCGAAGCCCUGUCCAGAUCAACCACAACAGCUCCCACAACAACCACAGUGGCUCCCACAACAACCACAGCUGAUGUUACAACAACCACAGUGUCUCCCACAACAACCACUGCUGCUCCCCCAACAACCACAACCUAUCCCAAAACUACAGCAUUCCACACAACCACAACAGCUUCCCUUACAACAUCAACAGCUGGUCCGACAACAGUCACAGCAGCACCAAUGAUGUCUACGGAUGUGGCUUCAACGAGCACAGCUGUGGCUACAGCAAUCACGGCUGCACCCACAACAACCACAGCUUCUCCCACCACAACAUCUACUCCAACAGUGACCACAUCUGCUCCAACAACAACCACAGUUGCUGCUACAACAAAAUCUGAGGCUACAACAUUCGAAGCCCUGUCCACAUCAACCACAGCAGCUCCCACAACAACCACAGCGGCUCCCACAACAACCACAGCGGCUCCCACAACAACCACAGCUUAUGUUACAACAACCACAGCAUCUCCCACAACAACCACAGCUGCUCCCACAACAACCACAGCUGAUGUUACAACCACCACAGCUGCUCCCACAACGACCACAGCUGCUCCAACAACAACCACAACUUAUCCCAAAACUACAGCAUCUCCCACAACUACAACAGCUUCCCUUACAACAUCAUCAGCUGGUCCGACAACGAUCACAGCAGCACCAAUGAUGUCUACGGAUGCGGCAUCAAUGAGCACAACUGUGGCUACAGCAAUCACAGCUGCACCCACAACAACCAUAACUUCUCCCACCACUCCAUCAACAAUCACAUCUGCUCCCACAACAACCACAGUUGCUGCUACAAAAAAAGCUGAGGCUACAACAUUCGAAGCCCUGUCCACAUCAACCACAACAGCUCCCACAACAACCACAGCGGCUCCCACAACAACCACAGCUGAUGUAACAACAACCACAUCAUCUCCCACAACAACCACAGCUGCUCCAACAACAACCACUGUUGAUGUUACAACAACCACAGCGUCUCCCACAACAACCACAUCUGUUCCCACAACAACCACAGCUGAUUUUACAACAACCACAGCGUCUCCCACAACAACCACAGCUGCUCCAACAACAACCACUGCUGAUGUUACAACAACCAAUGCAGCUCCCACAACAACCACAGCUGAUGUUACAACAACCACAGUGUGUCCCACAAUAGUCACAGCUGCACCCGCAACAACCACAGCUUCUCCCACCACAACAUCUACUCCAACAGUGACCACAUCUGCUCCCACAACAACCACAGUUGCUGCUACAUCAAAAUCUGAGGCUACAACAUUCGAAGCCCUCUCCACAUCAACCACAGCAGCUCCCACAACAACCAAAACGGCUCCCACCACAACAUCUACUCCAACAAUGACCACAUCUGCUCCCACAACAACCACAGUUGCUGCUAAAACAAAAGCUGAGGCUACAACAUUCGAAGCCCUGUCCAGAUCAACCACAGCAGCUCCCACAACAACCACAGCGACUCCCACAACAACCACAGCGGCUCCCACAACAACCACAGCUGAUGGUACAACAACCACAGUGUCUCCCACAACAACCACUGCUGCUCCCCCAACAACCACAACUUAUCCCAAAACUACAGCAUCCCACACAACCACAACAGCUUCCCUUACAACAUCUACAGCUGGUCCGACAACGAUCACAGCAGCACCAAUGAUGUCUACGGAUGUGGCUUCAAUGAGCACAGCUGUGGCUACAGCAAUCACAGCUGCACCCACAACAACCACAGCUUCUCCCACCACAACAUCUACUCCAACAACGACCACAUCUGCUCCCACAACAACCACAGUUGCUGCUACAAAAAAAGCUGAGGCUACAACAUUCGAAGCCCUGUCCACAUCAACCACAGCAGCUCCCACAACAACCACAGAUGCACCCAUAAAAACCACAGCUGCUCCCAUAACUACAGCUGCUCCCACAAACACAUCAGCUUCCCUUACUUUAAACACAGCUUCCCCCAAAACAACCACAGCUGCAGCUACAAGUACAGCUGCACCCACAACAGCCACACUUGCUCCAACCACAAUCCCAGCUGCUGCUACAACAACAGCUUCUAAUACAUCAAUAACAGCUUCGACCACAACGACCAAAGCUGCUCCCACAACAACCACAGCUUACCCCACAUCAACCACAGUGGAUCCCACAACAACCACAGCGUCUCCCACAACAACCACAGCUGGUGUUACAACAACAACAGCGGCUCCCACAACAACCACAGCGACUCCCACAACAACCACAGCGGCUCCCACUGCAACAGCUCCCAUAGCAACAACAAAAGCUGAUGUAACAACCACCACUGCUGCCCCUACCACAACUACAGCUAACCCCAAAACAACCACAACUUCUCCCACAACCACAACAGCUUCCCUUACAACAACCACAACUGAUCCCACAAUGUCAACAACAUCACCAAUAACAUCUACAGCUUCAACAAGCACAGCUGUGGAUUCAACAAUCACAGCUGCAUCCACAAACACAGCUUCUCCCACCACAACAUCUACUCCAACAACGACCACAGUUGCUACUACAACAAAAGCUGAGGCUACAACAUUUGAAGCCCUGUCCACAUCAACCACAGACACUCUCAGAACAACCACAAUUGCACCCACAAAAACCACAACUUCUCCCAUAACUACAGCAGCUCCCACAACCACAACAGUUUCCCUUACUACAACCACAGCUUCCCCCAAUGCAACCACAGCUGCACCCACAACAACCACAGCUGCAGCUACAACAAGUACAGCUGCACCCACAACAACCACACCUGCUCCAACCACAAUUACAGAUGCUGCUACAACAACAGCUUCUAUCACAACAACCACAGCUUCUACCACAACAACCACAGCGGCUCCCACAUCAACCGCAGCGACUCCCACAACAACCACAGUGGCUCCCACAACAACAACACCUGAUGUUACAACAACCACAGCGUCUCCUACAACAACCCCUGCUGAUGUUACAACAACUACAGCUGCUCCCACAACCACAACAGUUUCCCUUACUUCAACCACAGCUUCCCCCAAUACAACCACAGCUGCAGCUACAACAAGUACAUCUGCAACCACAACAACAACACCCACUCCAACCACAAUCACAGCUGCAGCUACAACAACAGCUUCGAUCACAACAACAACAGUUUUGACCACAACAACCACAGAUUUUACCACAACAACCACAGCUGCUCCCACUACAUCCACAGCUGCAGCUACAACAAGUACAGCAGCACCCACUACAACCACAGCGGCUCCCACUACAACCACAGGGGCUCCCACUUCAACCAUAGUGGCUCCCACUACAACCACAGCUGCUCCCACUACAACCACAGCGGCUCCCGCUACAACCACAGCGGCUCCCACUACAACAGCUCCCAUAGCAAUAACAACAGCUGAUGUAACAACCACCACUGCUGGCCCUAUCAUAACCACAGCUAACCCCAAAACCACCACAACUUCUCCCACAACCACAACAGGUUCCCUUACAACAACCACAGCUGUUCCCACAAUGGCAACAGCAACACCAAUAACAUCUACAGCUUCAACAACCACAGCUGUGGCAACAACAAUCACAGCUGCAUCCGCAAACACAGCUUCUCCCACCACACCAUCUACUCCAACGACGACCACAUCUACUCCCACAACAACCACAGUUGCUGCUACAACAAAAGCUGAGGCAACAACAACCACAGCUACGCUCACAACAUACUCAGCUUCUCCCACAACAACCACAACUGCUAGCAUAACAAUAGAUUCUCCCACUACUACCACAGCUGCUCCCACUACAACCACAAUGGCUCCCACUACAACCAUAGUGGCUCCCACUACAACCAUAGCGGCUCCCACUAAAACCACAGCGGCUCCCACUACAACCACAGCGGCUCCCACUAUAACCACAGCGGCUCCCACUACAACCACAGCGGCUCCCACUACAACAGCUCCCAUAGCAAUAACAACAGCUGAUGUAACCACUGCUGGCCCUACCACAACCACAACUAAACCCAAGACAACCACAACUUCUCCCACAACCACAACAGAUUCACUUACAACAACCACAGCUGUUCCCACAAUGUCAACAGCAACACCAAUACCAUCUACAGCUUCAACAAGCACAGCUGUGGCAACAACAAUCACAGCUGCAUCCGCAAACACAGCUUCUCCCACCACAACAUCUACUCCCACAACAACCACAGCUUACCCCACAACUACCACAGCGGCUCCCACAACAUCCACAGCAUCUCCCACAAGAAUCACAGCUGUUCCCACAAUGUCAACAGCAACACCAAUAACAUCUACAGCUUCAACAAGCACAGUUGUGGCAACAACAAUCACAGCUGCAUCCACAAACACAGCUUCUCCCACCACAACAUCUACUCCCACAACAACCACAGCUUACCCCACAUCUACCACAGCUGCACCCACAACAACCACAGCUUCUCCCACCACACCAUCUACUCCAACAACGACCAUAUCUGCUCCCACAACAACCACAGAGGCUACAACAUUCGAAGCCCUGUCCACAUCAACCACAGACGCUCUCAGAACAACCACAAUAGCUGCAGCUACAACAAGUACAGCUGCACCCACAACAACCACACCUGCUCCAACCACAAUCACAGCUGCUGCUACAACAACAGCUUCUAUCACAACAACAACAGCUUCGACCACAACAACCACAACUUCUCCCACAACAACAACAACUUAUCCCAAAACUACAGCAACCACAACCACAACAGCUUCCCUUACAACAUCCACAGCUGGUGCUAUGACAACAACAGCCAACCCCACAACAACUACAGUUGCUCCAACAACAACCACAGCUGCCCAUUUAACAACCACAGCAGUACCAACUUCAACCACAGCAGUACCAAUGUCAACAACAGCGGCUGCCACUACAACCCCAGCUUACCCGUCGACAACCACAGUUGCUGCAACGACCACCAAUGUCACCCCCAAAACAACCCCAGCUGCUACCACAAUAACCACAGCAGCUGCCACAACAAUCACAGCUUAUCCCACUUUAACCACUGCCGCAACCACAACAACCGCAGCAGCAACAACAACUUCAGCUCCUGCUCCCACAACAACAGUGGCUCACUCAACAAUUAGAGCUGCCCCCACAUCAACUACAGCUGCUGCUACAAUAACAAUAGUUGUUCCCACUACAACUACAACUGCCACCACAACAACAACAGCAGCUUUUGCCACAAGGACAACAGCUGCUGUAACUACCAGCACAGCUGGCGCUACCACAACUACAUCUAACUCCACAACAACCACCAUUGCCCCUACAACUACCAAUGCCGCUCCCACAACGACCACAGCUUCACCAUCAACAACAAAAACUCUUGCUCCAACAACUACUGUUUCCCCAACCACCGCAUCCACUGACCCUCCAACGUCAAAUGAAGGUGUACUUAUUCUACAGUUCCGGAUGAAUCGACAAUUUUUGGAAGCCUACAAAAAUCCACAGUCCCAGGAUUACUUUACUUUGGCUUUAAAUGUCACAACUGAGUUGAAUCAAGGAUACAAAACGGUAUAUCCUGGAAUCUUCCUCAGAUGCAUCAUCAUCAGUUUCUGGUCUGGUUCUGUGGGUGUGACAACCAAGUUGAUCUUCGCAAAUCAGUCAGUUGUCCCUCAAAUUAGGAAUAUAGAAGAAUCCCUCAAGACAUCCAUCAACACGUCCACAGUCUUCUUAGAUGUUAUUACUGACAGUAUCAAAGCGGAAUUCCAGAAUUCCACGACUACUACUACUGCAACCACCACAACAGCAGCUACACAAACUACAGUGGCUGCACCUACCUAUAGCAGCACUAUGGCAAGAAACAGACCUCAAGAAGUGGUCACUUUACUACUGGUUUUAAUGCUGAUCUGUUUCUUCUUAACAGAAUAACUCUAGGACUCAAUUAAACCCAUUAAGUAUAACAUAUUCUAUAAUAAAGGCAUAUAUAACUUCAGCUAUUAAGAUUAAGAUAUGUUAAGAAACGACUAAUAAUCAAAUAGUAAUAUCUUAGUUAAAGUAAUUGCUUGUCUAUAUGAUUAUGUAUAAAACUGUUUGUCUAAUUUAUUUUUAUAAAAUGUACCUCAAGAGAAAAUAAUUCAGAAAAUAAUGCUGUUAAUGUAAUGAAGCUGAAUGUAAAUGUGUGAUGUAUUUCUAUUUAUAUGUUGUUUUAGUAUAUUGCAAUAGACUAUGAAUAAUGUAAUAGAAUAUAAAUACAUUUGUAUAUUAUGAAAUGAACUAAGCAAAUUAUACAAUUCUUGGAAACCUAAUUGUCUAUUCUGUAAUAUAUAGUUUCUUCCUAAUUGUAACCCAACUCUCGGCAUACAUUGCAAUCUUUGGAAAUUACUUUGAAAACCCUUGAAUAAAUAAUGCCAAAGAAAAACACAUAAAUAAAUACACUUUAGACUGUAGAUGUAUUGUAAUAAUACUUAAAUAAACACAAAUUGAUCUUA
This 14711-nucleotide long non-coding RNA is filed under the name Salmo salar (Atlantic salmon). Its description in RNAcentral is "lncRNA (ENSSSAG00000107060.1)". Lineage: Eukaryota; Metazoa; Chordata; Actinopteri; Salmoniformes; Salmonidae. The record is from RNAcentral.